AGAUUGAACGCUGGCGGCAUGCUUUACACAUGCAAGUCGAACGGUAACAGGCCGCAAGGUGCUGACGAGUGGCGAACGGGUGAGUAAUGUAUCGGAACGUGCCCAGUCGUGGGGGAUAACGCAGCGAAAGCUGCGCUAAUACCGCAUACGAUCUAUGGAUGAAAGCGGGGGACCGUAAGGCCUCGCGCGAUUGGAGCGGCCGAUAUCAGAUUAGGUAGUUGGUGGGGUAAAGGCUACACCAAGCCAACGAUCUGUAGCUGGUCUGAGAGGACGACCAGCCACACUGGGACUGAGACACGGCCCAGACCUCCUACGGGAGGCCAGCAGGUGGGAAUAGUUGGACAAGUGGGACGAAAGCCCUAGAUCCGAGCCCAUCGCCGCGUGUGUGAAGAAGGUCUUCGGAUUAGUAAAGC
Molecule: ribosomal RNA, 413 nt
Filed under: uncultured soil bacterium
Lineage: Bacteria
Description: bacterial SSU rRNA
Rfam family: Bacterial small subunit ribosomal RNA
Source: RNAcentral